GUGGGGAAUAUUGGACAAUGGGCGCAAGCCUGAUCCAGCAAUGCCGCGUGGGUGAAGAAGGCCUUCGGGUUGUAAAGCCCUUUUGUUGGGAAAGAAAUCCUGUCGAUUAAUACUCGGUGGGGAUGACGGUACCCAAAGAAUAAGCACCGGCUAACUUCGUGCCAGCAGCCGCGGUAAUACGAAGGGUGCAAGCGUUACUCGGAAUUACUGGGCGUAAAGCGUGCGUAGGUGGUGGUUUAAGUCUGCUGUGAAAGCCCUGGGCUCAACCUGGGAAUUGCAGUGGAUACUGGAUCACUAGAGUGUGGUAGAGGGAUGCGGAAUUUCUGGUGUAGCAGUGAAAUGCGUAGAGAUCAGAAGGAACAUCCGUGGCGAAGGCGGCAUCCUGGGCCAACACUGACACUGAGGCACGAAAGCGUGGGGAGCAAACAGGAUUAGAUACCCUAGUAGUCC
Molecule: ribosomal RNA, 450 nt
Filed under: uncultured bacterium
Lineage: Bacteria
Description: bacterial SSU rRNA
Rfam family: Bacterial small subunit ribosomal RNA
Source: RNAcentral